GCAAGCUUGCCCUGUGUCAGACUCUGAGAGCAUCAGCAGAGAUAUGCAAGCUUGCCCUGUGUCAGACUCUGAGAGCAUCAGCAGAGAUAUGCAAGCUUGCCCUGUGUCAGACUCUUUUAAAACAUCAGCAGAGAAUUGGUUUUGCCCUGUUCAAUUUUAGAGCAUCAGCAGAGAUAUGCAAGCUUGCCCUGUGUCAGACUCUGAGAGCAUCAGCAGAGAUAUGCAAGCUUGCCCUGUAUCAGACUCUGAGAGCAUCAGCAGAGAUGUGCAAGCUUGCCCUGUGUCAGACUCUUAGAGCAUCAGCAGAUAUCCCAAGCUUCCCUGU
This 325-nucleotide long non-coding RNA is filed under the name Sarcophilus harrisii (Tasmanian devil). RNAcentral describes it as "lncRNA (ENSSHAG00000027159.1)". The record is from RNAcentral. Lineage: Eukaryota; Metazoa; Chordata; Mammalia; Dasyuromorphia; Dasyuridae.